Phacochoerus africanus (Common warthog) is the source of this 441-nucleotide long non-coding RNA. RefSeq lists it as uncharacterized. The transcript has 2 exons. NCBI's taxonomy places the organism in Eukaryota, Metazoa, Chordata, Mammalia, Artiodactyla, Suidae. The record is from RefSeq and is a predicted model, not a curated record.
UCACUGGACCUCAGGAGGAUCCUCGUCACCGUGAUGACGCAUAUGAGCCCCCAGAGCUGCUCUUCUUAGUAGAAACCUGGAGAGCUGCCCACGUGGGAAAAAGCUUGACUGUUUCCCCAUUGGUCGAGACAACUAUUUCACCACCGUGUACACGACACCCUCACAUCAGUGUAAUAUAUGAUAGGAGUCAGUCAGCUGCUUUGGAUCUUGGCUACAUCUGUGAAGACUCAGGGAAGGAGAGGACUCUGCCUCCAGUUCAAGGAGCAAGAGGACUGGCUCCUCUACUUGGGCCAUGUGAUCAGCACAGCACAUGGUGCUGGUUACAGCUGGAUGACAUAGGAUUCUGUGUGCACGCUCUGAAAAGCUCAGAUAUAAAGGCACUUCCUAGAUUUCUAGGCUUGUGGUGGAAAGCCACGCCUUUCUCAAUAAACAAACAAAAAC